Cinara cedri is the source of this 485-nucleotide non-coding RNA. Lineage: Eukaryota; Metazoa; Arthropoda; Insecta; Hemiptera; Aphididae. The record is from the annotation of a GenBank genome assembly.
ACAAAACAUCGUGUGAUAAUAUACGAUAAACGGGGAAAUAAGACACAAUUCAAUUUGUGUGGUUUCCAAUGGUUCACACUCGACUAGUAAUGUACAAUAAUAUCACAUGUAAUAAUUAACAAUUACGUAGUGUGUAAAUAAGCUUUGGUCCUUUGGUAGACGUUUGCCGUACCUAAAUAAAGAAUCAUGGUCUAAGUUUGCGCACUAGUACGCUCUUUCCUACGACGACGCACGAACGACCGUUUUUAACCGUAAAACAUAUCAUGUCAACAAGUAUGCCAGUGUCCUCUUACGAUAAACGACAUCAUCGCUGAUGAAUUAAACGGUUGACCGUAGAGUCACUUUUCAUUAAGCGGUUUUUCUAGUGAAUACUGUAAUUGAUGUGUUAUAACAAUUUCGAGCAACAGUUUAAAAAGAAGUUUUCCUUCAAAUUUGGGGCUCAGUCCCACGGAAACUUUUCGAAAACAGUAGCAAGCUUAUGGUUA